This 271-nucleotide ribosomal RNA is filed under the name uncultured bacterium. RNAcentral's name for it is "partial 16S ribosomal RNA". It matches the Rfam family "Bacterial small subunit ribosomal RNA", at positions 524 to 794 of the family's 1533-position model. The record is from RNAcentral.
UACGUAGGGUGCAAGCGUUGUCCGGAAUUAUUGGGCGUAAAGAGCUCGUAGGCGGUUUGUCGCGUCUGCUGUGAAAACGCGAGGCUCAACCUCGCGCCUGCAGUGGGUACGGGCAGACUAGAGUGCGGUAGGGGAGAUUGGAAUUCCUGGUGUAGCGGUGGAAUGCGCAGAUAUCAGGAGGAACACCAAUGGCGAAGGCAGCUUGCUGGGACGGUACUGACGCUGAGACGCGAAAGCGUGGGGAGCAAACAGGAUUAGAUACCCUAGUAGU